CCUACGGGAGGCAGCAGUGGGGAAUUUUGCGCAAUGGGGGAAACCCUGACGCAGCGACGCCGCGUGGAGGAUGAAGGCCUUCGGGUUGUAAACUCCUUUUGUGGGGGACAGUGGUGAUGGUACCCCAUGAAUAAGCCACGGCUAACUCUGUGCCAGCAGCCGCGGUAAGACAGAGGUGGCAAGCGUUGUUCGGAAUCACUGGGCUUAAAGGGCGUGUAGGCGGCAUUGCAAGUCUGGGGUGGAAUCCGGUGGCUUAACCACCGAACGGCCCUGGAAACUGCAUUGCUUGAGUCAGUGAGGGGAGGGCGAAAUUCCCGGUGUAGCAGUAAAAUGCGUAGAUAUCGGGAGGAACACCAGUGGCGAAGGCGGCCUUCUGGGCUGUCCCUGACGCUGAGGCGCGAAAGCGUGGGGAGCGAACCGGAUUAGAUACCCGGGUAGU
Molecule: ribosomal RNA, 439 nt
Filed under: uncultured Nitrospirales bacterium
Lineage: Bacteria; Pseudomonadati; Nitrospirota; Nitrospiria; Nitrospirales
Description: partial 16S ribosomal RNA
Rfam family: Bacterial small subunit ribosomal RNA
Source: RNAcentral